Molecule: non-coding RNA, 77 nt
Organism: Klebsiella pneumoniae ISC21
Lineage: Bacteria; Pseudomonadati; Pseudomonadota; Gammaproteobacteria; Enterobacterales; Enterobacteriaceae
Source: Rfam
GUACCUGCAAAUUCAGGUGCCGGGAUUGGUCUCCCGAAUAUCAUACCUGCGACAUAUGACGCGUUAGCGUCUUUUUU